GAUGAACGCUGGCUACAGGCUUAACACAUGCAAGUCGAGGGGCAGCAUGGCGGAUGCUUGCAUCUGCCGAUGGCGACCGGCGCACGGGUGAGUAACGCGUAUCCAACCUACCUUCAAGCAGGGGACAAUCCGUAGAAAUGCGGUCUGAUACCCUAUGUAUUCCGACGAGGUCCUCCGUGUUGGAUGAGAGGUUUAUCCGCUUGUUGAUGGGGAUGCGUCCGAUUAGCUUGUUGGCGGGGCAGCGGCCCACCAAGGCAACGAUCGGUAGGGGUUCUGAUAGGAAGGUCCCCCUCACUGGAACUGAUACUCAGUCCACACUCCUACAGGAGGCCGCUUUGAUGAAUAUUGGUCAAUGGGCGUAACCCUGAGCCUUCCUCCUGGCGUGCAGGAUGACGGCCCCGGGUUUUGUAAAUUGCUUUUAUACCGCCAUAAAGUGCGCCACGUGUGGUGUUUUGCCGUGUACCGUAUGAAUAAGUGACCUGGCUAAUUCUCGUGCCACCAGCCGCGGUAAUACGGAAGGUCCGGGCGUUAUCUCGGAUUUAUUGGGUUUAAAGGGAGCGUAGGCCGCAUGUCAAGCGUGUUGUGAAAUGCAUGUGCUCAACACCUGAAUUGCAGCGCGAACUGUCGUGCUUGAGUGUGCGCAACGUUGGCGGAAUUCACGUGUAGCGGUGAAAUGCUUAGAUAUGACGAGGAACCCCGAUUUGCACGCAGCUGACGGUAGCAUAACUGACGCUGAAGCUGGCGGUGCGGUUAUCCAACAGGAUGAUAUACCUCUUAGUCCAAAGGCAAAUUCGAUAUGGAUAUCACGCUUAUCGAUACCGUCGACCGCGGGGGGGGGCCCGGUUUUGUUUUUUUUAAACAAUAAAAAAAGU
This 872-nucleotide ribosomal RNA is filed under the name uncultured Neisseria sp. Its description in RNAcentral is "bacterial SSU rRNA". It matches the Rfam family "Bacterial small subunit ribosomal RNA". The record is from RNAcentral. Lineage: Bacteria; Pseudomonadati; Pseudomonadota; Betaproteobacteria; Neisseriales; Neisseriaceae.